Molecule: long non-coding RNA, 1206 nt
Organism: Pantherophis guttatus
Lineage: Eukaryota; Metazoa; Chordata; Lepidosauria; Squamata; Colubridae
Source: RefSeq, a predicted model, not a curated record
UCACUCUGGGCUCGUAGCGAAUACCAUUGCAAGUGAGGCGCCUAUAUAAAGGUUUCAUGAAAGAGUCUAAGAAACAGGUGAGGGUCCUUUUGAGGCUCUUCCUGUACCCACUAUCCAUCUGCAGGCUAUGUUGUCUCUUAUCUGACUGUUACCUAGACAGCAUCUCUUCACAGCACCUCCCAAGGCCAAACAUCAAACUAUUUUGUUUUCCUGCAAGGGAAGAUUGGAACUUCUGUGGUACUUUGUCCUUUCAACUCUGCCUAACCAGACCAUCAAAUUAAAAACCUAUACAUUCAAGCUAAAACAAAUGGGAUCAUAGUCCCGAAUUCUAUAUAACUUUCCAACUUUAUUUAAAAUUUUCCUUCCAAUUGAAACAAAGUGAAGCAUUAUAAAGAAGCUGAAAGCUUGCAGCAAUUCAGCAUUCGGAUUUUCUGGGUAGACAUGUCAUCCAUCAUCUGGGAAAGUGGUAAACCUGGCAAUCAUGAUCACCUAAGUUCUUCCCAUAAUGAUCAGACCAUCACCAGACUUCAAGCAAAUUAGUUGUCUUGUACAAGUCAAUAAAUUCCGAAUGACAUUUAUGAGGAAAAAAACAACUUCCGUGGAACAUCUCCUGCUCAGUGAAAACAAGAGAUUGAGUACUCAGUAGAUGCAUGAGAGACAUGAAAAAAGCCAAUUGGCCACACAGAUAAACAUUCAGCACAAGCAAACUAACAAUAUCACACAGCAGUUAUUGCAUGUGGGAGGGACAAGUAGGGAAGGAAAUGUUCCUCUGCCACUGCUGUUGAUGGUGUGCCAACAUCUGAACAUCAUUAUUUUAUUUAUGUAUUUAUCGCCGCCCCCCCAAAGAUGAGAAAUAUUUUGCUUUCAGGAUAAUGUAGUAGACUGUAAGAUUUUCAUGGGUAUUUUUGUAAAUAAUCCAUAGCAAAACACUCCUUAUGACCAACAGAGAAUUGAUAUCAUGUUUGCUGUUGUCUUAGCCAUAAAUUCAAAAUCUGAACCUGACUCACAGGAUGUUUCUUAAGGGGUGGGGUAAGACUGGAAAAAAAAAUCUCAACACAAAUACACAUACAUCUAUUACUGCCCUAACACAUUACAAUAUAUAUUUUAAAAAGUUACACAUUGUAUAUCAUGCAUUAAUUGGUACUGGAAAUGUAAUGUUUAAUAAUCUGUACAAGGCCAUCUGAAUAUUAAAUUAAACGAAUCUCA